UUGUAAUAUUAAUUUAAACGGUUAGAUAAUUGUUUCCAAAUUCCAAUAGUGCAAGGCCGCCGAUAUUACCUAUUACGGUUAAUGCUUCCACGUUUAACGUGUAUUCAACCGAAAUCAGUCCUUAUUUUGCAGUUCCUUGCGGUGUUCGCUCCUGACUUAACGCGGUUAGUUCUUCUAAUCCCUUUUUCUUAUUGGCUCGUUCUUAAUUAAUUUUUUAUUAAUGAAUCACUGUUUGGACCUAAUCAUCCACAAUACACAGUGAUUUGGGUAUUAGUGCUGUGUUCUAGUUUCAUGAUUUGAACUUUUGUCUAGGAAAGUUAAUCGAGAGCGUCAGCUACCCAAGCACGAGGACGAAACCCGUCGCCAUUUUGUGCGCGUACAGCAACUUAUGAUGAAUCUGGAUUCAGCAAGCCAAAAUGGAGCAAUUCUACAUCAGCGGAAUUCACAUUCAGAUGGCAGCACAUGGAUAUAGGAUAACAGCGUUGCCAAUCCUACUGCCAUUCGAUCUGCAAAUGUUCGUGCCUUCGGGAAUGAUGAUGGUCGGAAGCCAUUGCGAAAGCCGUCAUAUCGUCAUCGGCAACUAGAUCCUUUGGAGGGAGUUGUGAUGGAAUACAUGAUCUGAUGGCGGUCUCAAGCAGUACCUACCUCUAAAACGACGACACUUUUCCGAUGCGAAGACCGAAGGAACUAGUCACCUCUGCAGUUGUCAACAAAGACCAACAUUCUUAGGGAUGUGUAGGUACUAUUCACCACUUCGAAUUCGGCGCUGUCAUCAUCAUCAUUCCGGUCCAUCUGUCAUCCAGAUUUACUCUGACUAUGGUGUUUCACUAGUAACUUCAAUUUCCAUUUGUGCAUGCAUAUGUUUAAAAUUGAUAACAAAAUAUACGUAGGUAGGUAUUAAGUUAUUUAUUUUUUAAGUUAUCACUGUUACAAGAAGAUCUUUGUAAUACAAAAAAGAAACUGUUCAUCUCUAGAAUAAUAUUGUACUGCACUUUGCUGGCAGCAGGAUAUUUUUUUAAUUAAC
Photinus pyralis (common eastern firefly) is the source of this 1024-nucleotide long non-coding RNA. RefSeq lists it as uncharacterized. The transcript is spliced from 5 exons. NCBI's taxonomy places the organism in Eukaryota, Metazoa, Arthropoda, Insecta, Coleoptera, Lampyridae. The record is from RefSeq and is a predicted model, not a curated record.